RNAcentral lists this ribosomal RNA (465 nucleotides) under Vreelandella stevensii. RNAcentral describes it as "partial 16S ribosomal RNA". It matches the Rfam family "Bacterial small subunit ribosomal RNA", at positions 338 to 795 of the family's 1533-position model. Lineage: Bacteria; Pseudomonadati; Pseudomonadota; Gammaproteobacteria; Oceanospirillales; Halomonadaceae. The record is from RNAcentral.
CCUACGGGCGGCAGCAGUGGGGAAUAUUGGACAAUGGGGGCAACCCUGAUCCAGCCAUGCCGCGUGUGUGAAGAAGGCCCUCGGGUUGUAAAGCACUUUCAGUGAGGAAGAACGCCUGGUGGUUAAUACCCAUCAGGAAAGACAUCACUCACAGAAGAAGCACCGGCUAACUCCGUGCCAGCAGCCGCGGUAAUACGGAGGGUGCGAGCGUUAAUCGGAAUUAAUGGGCAUAAAGCGCGCGUAGGUGGCUUGAUAAGCCGGUUGUGAAAGCCCCGGGCUCAACCUGGGAACGGCAUCCGGAACUGUCAAGCUAGAGUGCAGGAGAGGAAGGUAGAAUUCCCGGUGUAGCGGUGAAAUGCGUAGAGAUCGGGAGGAAUACCAGUGGCGAAGGCGGCCUUCUGGACUGAAACUGACACUGAGGUGCGAAAGCGUGGGUAGCAAACAGGAUUAGAUACCCUAGUAGUC